This 74-nucleotide transfer RNA is filed under the name Methanobacterium sp. PtaU1.Bin097. RNAcentral's name for it is "tRNA-Ala". It matches the Rfam family "tRNA". From Rfam's summary of the family: Transfer RNA (tRNA) molecules are approximately 80 nucleotides in length. Their secondary structure includes four short double-helical elements and three loops (D, anti-codon, and T loops). The record is from RNAcentral. Lineage: Archaea; Methanobacteriati; Methanobacteriota; Methanobacteria; Methanobacteriales; Methanobacteriaceae.
GGGCUGGUAGCUCAGGUGGUAGAGCGUUGCCUUCGCAAGGCAGAGGCCGCGGGUUCAAAUCCCGCCCAGUCCAC